AUACGUAGGUGACAAGCGUUAUCCGGAUUUACUGGGCGUAAAGGGCGUGUAGGCGGUCUUGCAAGUCAGAAGUGAAAUUCCUGAGCUCAACUCGGGCGCUGCUUCUGAAACUGCAGGACUUGAGUGCUGGAGGGGAUAGCGGAAUUCCUAGUGGAGCGGUAAAAUGCGCAGAUAUUAGGAAGAACACCGGUGGCGAAGGCGGCUAUCUGGCCAGUAACUGACGUUGAGGCGCGAAAGCGUGGGGAGCAAACUGGAUUAGAUCCCCUGGUAGUCCACGCUGUAAACGAUGAAUACUAGGUGUAGGGGGUAUCGACUCCCUCUGUGCCGCAGUUAACACAAUAAGUACUCCGCCUGGGAAGUACGCUCGCAAGAGUGAAACUCAAAUGAAUUGGCGGGG
This 397-nucleotide ribosomal RNA is filed under the name uncultured bacterium. RNAcentral describes it as "partial 16S ribosomal RNA". It matches the Rfam family "Bacterial small subunit ribosomal RNA", at positions 523 to 918 of the family's 1533-position model. The record is from RNAcentral.